Molecule: RNA transcript, 1503 nt
Organism: Cercocebus atys (sooty mangabey)
Lineage: Eukaryota; Metazoa; Chordata; Mammalia; Primates; Cercopithecidae
Gene name: dnaJ homolog subfamily B member 1 pseudogene
Exons: 1
Source: RefSeq, a predicted model, not a curated record
AUGAGUAUACAGAGUCCGGGACCGGGCGGCGGCGGAGCCGGGGGACGGCGACAAAGGCUGGGCGGGCCGCAGGCCGGGGCCACUGGCAAAGACUAUUACCAGACGCUGGACCUGGCCCGAGGCGCCUCGGACGAGGAGGUCAAGCGGGCCUACAGCGGCCAGACGCUGCGCUACCACCCGUACAAGAACAAGGAGCCCGGCGCCGAGGAGAAGUUCAAGGAGAUCGCCGAGGCCUACGACGUGCUCCGAGACCCGCGCACGUGCCAGAUCUUGACCACUACGGGGAGGAAGGCCUAAAGGGCAGCGGCCCCAGUGGCGGUAGCGACGGCGGUGCCAGUGAUACCUCUUUCAGCUACACAUUCCAUGGAGACCCUCAUGCCAUGUUUGCUGAGUUCUUCGGUGGCAGAAAUCCCUUCGAUACCUUUUUUGGGCAGCGGAACGAGGAGGAAGGCGUGGACAUUGCUGACCCAUUCUCUGGGUUCCCUAUGGGCAUGGGUGGCUUCACCGGCAUGAACUUUGGCCGCUCCCGCCCUGUCCAAGAGCCCACCCGAAAGAAGCAAGAUCCCCCAGUCACCCACGACCUUCGAGUCUCCCUUGAAGAGAUCUACAGCGGUUGUCACAAAAAGAUGAAAAUCCCCCACAAGCGGCUAAACCCCGAUGGAAAGAGCACUCAAAACGAAGACAAAAUCUUGACCAUCGAAGUGAAGAAGGGGUGGAAAGAAGGAACCAAAAUCACCUUCCCCAAGGAAGGAGACUAAACCUCCAACAACAUUCCAGCUGAGAUCGUCUUUGUUUUAAAGGACAAACCACACAAUAUCUUUAAGAGAGAUGGCUCUGAUGUGAUUUAUCCUUCCAGGAUCCGCCCCCGGGAGACUCUGUGUGGCUGCACAGUGAACGUCCCCAGUCUGGACGGCAGGACCAUACCCAUCGUAUUCAAAGAUGUCAUCAGGCCUGGCACACUGCGAAAAGUUCCUGGAGAAGGCCUCUGCCUCCCCAAAACGCCGGAGAAACGUGGGGACCUCAUUAUUGAAUUGGAAGAGAUCUUCCCUGAAAGAAUUCCCCAGAUAUCAAGAACCCUACUUGAGCAGAUUCUUCCAAUAUAGCUACCUUAGCUCCCCAAGGACUGACCUGGGACCUUUCCAGAGCUCAACGAUUUCUGGACCUUUCUACCAGUUGUGGACCAUGAGAGGACGCAAGCACCCAGGGAGGGCUUUUGUACUACUGAAUGUUUUCCAGAGCAUAUAUUACAAUCUUUCAAAGUCAUACACUAGACUUAAGUGGUUUUUCAAGCGAUAGGGCAUCAGGUGGUGGGAACAGCAGGAAAAGGCAUUCCAGUCUGCCCCACUGGGUCCGGCAGCCCUCCCGGGAUGGGCCCACAUCCUCCUACUCCAGUCCCUGUUCAGGGGCGAGAGGCAGACCAGCAGCUGGACUUGAUCCUUCUGUGUCCCUUUGCUUCUGGCUGGUAGAUAAUGUCGACCUGCUGUCUUGGUUCCCAGACCCUGU